GGAGGGAUGCCCGAGUGGUUAAAGGGGGCAGACUGUAAAUCUGUUGGCUAUGCCUACGCUGGUUCGAAUCCAGCUCCCUCCACCA
This 85-nucleotide transfer RNA is filed under the name Bacillota bacterium. RNAcentral describes it as "Firmicutes bacterium (anaerobic digester metagenome) tRNA-Tyr". It matches the Rfam family "tRNA". From Rfam's summary of the family: Transfer RNA (tRNA) molecules are approximately 80 nucleotides in length. Their secondary structure includes four short double-helical elements and three loops (D, anti-codon, and T loops). Lineage: Bacteria; Bacillati; Bacillota. The record is from RNAcentral.